CCGGGUUGCUGGGUAACGCGGGCAGAGCGCUGCCCGUCCUGGCUCUGCUCACGAACAACCGGGCGUACGGCGGCUCUCGGGAUGGGGGCGGCGGCGGCGCUGACAAGCCGGGUCCAGGCUGGGCUGCUCCUGCUCCUGCUCCUGGUCGGCCAGGUGUGUUGCGAGUAUGGCAUGGUACAUGUUCUUUCAGAGAAGGGGAGCCAUAAAGGAAAGGACUACUGUAUCCUCUUCAACUCUCAGUGGGCCCACUUGCCGCAUGACCUAGGAAAAGCUUCUCUCUUGCAGCUUCAGGAUCAAACAGCAUCUGUCUUGUGUUCUCCUUCUGAUGUACCAGAUGGUGGAUUUCAUAACAGAAUCCCUAUGGUGAUGCGGGGGAAUUGCACCUUUUAUGAGAAAGUCAGGCUUGCUCAGAUCAAUGGAGCCCGGGGUUUGCUGAUAGUCAGUAGAGAGAAACUGGCUCCCCCAAAAGGUAACUGGAGCCAAUAUGAAGAGAUUGAUAUCCCUGUGGCUUUGCUCAGCUACACUGACAUGUUAGAUAUUGGAAAGAGUUUUGGCAGAUCAGUGAAGGUGGCAAUGUAUGCGCCAAAUGAGCCUGUCCUUGACUAUAACAUGGUGAUUAUCUUUGUAAUGGCUGUGGGCACUGUUGCAAUUGGAGGCUAUUGGGCAGGAAGCAGGGAUGUGAAAAAGCGAUACAUGAAGCACAAACGAGAUGAUGGGGCAGAAAAACAUGAUGAUGAAACAGUUGAUGUCACUCCCAUCAUGAUCUGUGUAUUUGUGGUGAUGUGCUGCUCUAUGCUGGUCCUUCUUUAUUUCUUCUAUGACCACUUAGUCUACGUUAUUAUAGGGAUUUUCUGCCUGGCUGCCUCCAUUGGUCUCUACAGUUGUCUGUCUCCCUUUGUAAGAAGAUUCCCAUUGGGGAAGUGCAGAAUCCCUGACAACAACUUGCCAUAUUUUCACAAGCGUCCGCAGGUCCGGAUGUUGCUUCUGGCUGUGUUUUGUAUCUCUAUUAGUGUGGUUUGGGGAGUCUUCAGAAAUGAAGAUCAGUGGGCAUGGGUUUUGCAAGAUGCUCUAGGAAUCGCCUUCUGCCUUUACAUGCUGAAAACAAUCCGCCUACCUACAUUCAAGUGGAAUGUUUGUGUCCUCCAGCUGAUCAUUCUAGGUCUGACCCCUCCAUCUCUUACUGGUUGCACCUUGCUCCUGAUGGUUCUUUUUGUGUAUGAUGUGUUCUUUGUAUUCAUCACACCUUUUCUAACAAAGACAGGGCAGAGUAUAAUGGUGGAGGUGGCUGCAGGCCCGACUGACUCUGCCACUCAUGAAAAGCUCCCCAUGGUCCUGAAGGUUCCAAGGCUGAACUUUUCACCGUUGGCUCUUUGUGACAGGCCUUUUUCCCUCCUAGGAUUUGGAGACAUCUUAGUUCCAGGCUUACUGGUAGCCUACUGCCAUAGGUUUGAUAUUCAGGUGCAGUCCUCCAGAGUCUAUUUUGUAGCCUGCACUAUAGCAUAUGGCAUUGGCCUUCUGGUGACCUUUGUAGCCUUGGCAUUGAUGCAGAUGGGUCAGCCAGCUCUGCUCUACUUGGUGCCCUGUACUCUUAUCACUAGCUUUGCUGUGGCUCUUUGGCGUAAGGAGCUUGCAAUGUUCUGGACGGGCAGCGGCUUUGCGAAAGACCUACCUCAUCCUCCCUUGGUGCUGGCUCCUGUCAGUUGCCCUAACCCCCGCAAAGAUACGAAUGCACCAGCAUCUCAACAAGAAGCAGAACAACAAAUGACCAACCCCACGCUCCAUGCAGAUGAUGGAAAUAACCCUUCCCAGAGUGCAGAGGAGCUGCCUAACUUGAAUACCAAGGAGCUGACCAAUCCCAGCAUUCGAGCAGAACAGCCACAAAUUUCCAUCCCACAAAUAGAACAACAAACCAGUCAGAACAAGAAUGAUCCUGAAAGCAAGAGCCUAACAGUAGAAAAGAACCAGCUGGAUUAGAUGAUGAAAUAGGAAAUCCUCUCUUCCCCUCCCCCCGUCCCUCCCCCAAUCACCAAACUUCACCACAUAAAAUCAGAAAACCAGUAUGUAGACUUGUUCGGUAGCGUUCACAUUCAUUGAGGAACCUCACUGGGAAUCUGAUCAUCAAAUGCAAAGAUAUUCUACCUUUGACUUCAGAUACAGCUAUACAUUUCAAACAGCUUUCUGAAAUAUGGUGCUUUACAAAAAUUCUGAUGUAUAAAUUUCAGUGAUCAUUUUAUUACUUAGAUGCCUUUUACCUUUCCUAUUUCAUUAUACUAGGGUAAUAUUAAGAAUUUUUAUUUAUACAGUACUCUGGGCUUGUGUGGCUGUUGUGCUGCUUUAGUAUAGUGUAGAUUAAUGUGGAGGAUAAGCAUUGGACAAGUCUGCUACAGUGCUGAGAGGGGAGAGAUACUGUAGUUUUAUAGAUUUUCCCUCUUUGAUACUUUUAAAUUUCUGCUUGUAAAAGCCAUUGAUGCAAGUGAAUGGUUUAGUAUAAAUUGACACUCAGGAAAUGUUGAGAACUGGUUAAAUUGUCAGCCUUCUGAAAGGAUUUGUUUUACCAUGGUGCAUUAAAUGCAUCUCUUUCCUCAACAUUUUUUUUUUCCACUUCCAGGUGCCUGGGUUGGAUGAUAUUCUAGUUUAAAAGGCAGGAUGCAUUGAUCUCCAGUAAGCACUCCUAUGAAUUCUAGGGUCUCUCUUUGAAAUAAAACCUUCACUGAGUGGACCUUGCAGAAUAAUACACAGUAGACAAGCUUACUCGAAGUAUCUAUGAUGUUGUUUGGUUUGGUUUGGUUUGGUUUUAAAAGCACCCCACAUCCUUAUUUACCAGAUAAAUCAGAUCACAAAUAGUAACAUUCUGCACAACUUAGUGGUCUAGCAGAGUGGUCUGCAGGAGACUUUAAGCACUGACAUUGAUUUAGGAUGUUCAGCUGGUUUCUUUGACUCUCUGCUUAUUAUUAUUUUUAUGAAUAUAACUUUGAUUUCUAUGGGUUUAUCUACAUUACAAAUAUUUUGCUGGUAUUGCUAUAUCAGUAUAGCUAUGUUGACAAAAACUUCUAGUGUAAAUGCAGCAUAUGCACACAGAAGGGUUUUUUCAGUUGGCAUAGUAACACCACCUCCCCAAAUUAUGUUAGCUGUGCUGACUGAAGCACUCUUGUGUUGUCAUAGCUGCAUCUACACUUGGGUCGACUGCAGGGAGGGGGUUCUUACCCUUGGCCAACAUAGCUAUGCUGAGAAAACUUUGUAGUGCAGACUUGGCCUAUUGCUGAAGAAAGUCUGAAGUUCUCUUCAAAGGAGAGCUUGUGGUGCAGCUGUUCAUGGUUUGCAACCUCUUUAUAACUGGUCAGCUGCCACAAGUCAGGUUUUGUUUUUGUCCUAGGAGUGUUCAAAGUGUGACCUGCAAGGUUUUAGAAUGAGGCUAUAGCCACCUUCACUUGUGCUAGAACUGCGGAAUAGAUGCCCUACCAUGCAAUGGGAGAGCUGCAUCUCCACAAUGAAGUUUAGGGAGACUAAAGUCUAUUCAGCUUUAACAAGAUUAGGUGUUGUUCAUAAGUUGCCAGUGCAGCUUUUCAAUAUUCAAAACGUAGGCAUCUCUUGUGCAACCUGACUCGCUUCUUUGCACACCUGUUGCACAUACAGAGGGGCAAAGUUGUCAGAUUAACUUUUGUUAAUUAUAAAUAUUAUGUAGAAUCUAUUCUGUUUGAGAAUUUACUGAUCAGAGCCAUUUGAUUUAUUUCUAAGACAUGCACAUUCUUUAUUUUAAUUAUAAACAUUCCAAUCCAUUCAAAAAAACCUUGCAUUUUAAAUGCAAUUAACAAGGUUUUCAGGAACCUGUUGAUAUCCUGGAAAUAGAAUAUAAUCUUCAACUCAAUGGGGAGGGCCAUCCGUCUGCCACUUAAUAAAUACACUUCUUCUGAGAGAAGAAUUAUUGCAAGACAUAUAGUGUGACACUUUCAAGAGUGUAGUCUCAGUGGACCCAAAAAAAUGUAUUAAUAUUAAGCUCCAGUUGGCCUUUUGGAUCAAGUUUUGAAAGACUUUCAGUUGGCAGCUGUACAUGAUGAUUCUGUUUCUGUUUUCCUUCCUUUGAGUAGGCCUUCUGAAAGUUUAUGCUGUGUCUUUUAGACUGUAACCGCUUUCCCUUUACUGUUUCAUGUUAAAUGGACAAUAUUCAUUUUCCAGAAUAUUAGAGGCUUUCUGUAAAACUACCCUGUGGGUUCAGAAGUUUACCAUCUUCUGUCUAAGCCUUGAUGACCUUAACUGGGCUCUGUCUGCAAGUUGACUCAACUCUGGCUGAAAUGAUGAAUCAUAGAAGAUUAGAAUUGGAAAAAACCUCAGGACAUCAUCUAGUCCAUCCCCCUGCUUAAAGCAGGACCAGCCUCAACUAAAUCAUCUCAUACUCCUGCAGAGCCAACAGCAGCUAUGGGAGAGCAAAUGAAUUUGUUCUCUGCCUAGUACAUUAGCAGUAGCAUUGUCAGCUAAAUUCAUCACCAUAAACAAAGGGUGGAAGUCAGUCAGCAAAAGCCCAGCUUGAUGAUUGGCUCACAGGUUAGGUUUACUGUGUUGGCAAUUGGAUAAUAUUUUGAGUUUUCAAAUGAGCAAAUUUGAUCCUGGGAGCCACUGACAGAAUAAAUAUGGGACCCAACAAUUUCAUUCUGCGCACAUAUUAAUACAACACCUUAGAGCAAAAUAUCGCUGCACUAGGGCAGUUUGCUGUAGGGUGGGUUAUGGUAGGUUUUUUAGCCUUUUGAGGUGGAUGGUCUGUUCAGUAUGUGUAGGUUAGUCAUAUCCCUACUGAUUCUCCUACUACUGCCAUAAUGAAGGAAGUGGAGACAGACAUAGUUGUACAUGAGUGCUGAUUGAACAAAACCAAUGCUGCUUCAUCAAAAGAGAACUGGUGCUGCUUCAUGUGUGGAACAGAUGAAACAUUUAGACCAAAUCACAGCAUUCCACCCAAUAUGGAGAACAUUUAAAAGACAAGAUAUAGGAAUGUUUUUAUUAAAAAUUGGUUUAUCUUGGAUGCUUGAUAGAAGCUGCUUUUGGGAGAGAGGCUUAUCCAUCGGGUGCAUAAUCUACAGACCAGUUCUAAUGAGCUGGCUUUAUGGAAGGGCCUUGUAAUAAUGUGUAAACACAGCAUAUCAGUUAGUAUUGUAAAGACUUUAAACACUAAGGGGGUAUUAAUCUUAGUUCCUAGGGAGUCAUAUAUUUAACUCUGCAUAUGUAGAGUUCUGAACUGAACCCUUUAAACUAGUAUUUCAUGCUGUAUAGUCCAGUAGCCAAAUGCAAGUUUUGGGCCCUGGUUUAGUGUCCAUAGAGUGUUGUUGUUUUUAUGUGGAUUCUGAAUUUCAGUAUCCUAAAUUCAAAACAAUUGCCUAAUGACAUCUUGUCAUGCUUGAACAUUUUGAAAUCUGAGCACCUCCCUCCAGACUCUCAAGCCAGGUGAGAGUGAAAUCACUUUAAUUACAUUUCAGUUAUUUUUAAUGAAAGCCACACACUAAUAUUUUGUUAUGGAACAUAAUUAGCAAAGAGGUACAUAUGUAAUGUCUCUGUAUUGGUGUAUGUAUAAUCCGUAUAUUUUGCUAGUGCACCCUCAUCUUCCCCCUAAGCCAUAUUCUUGUACUCACAAACCAUGCGGACAACAAAUCCUUGCAUAUUUACUCAUGAGAAUUAAUUUACAAAUAUUAGACAGUUAUAAACAUUAACAGAUUAUAAACCAAACAGAGAUUCAACUCUUUUCCUCAUUCACUGAUCCUUUAGACUCCACUUAGCACCCAGAGGCAAUAGUAAACAUUGUCCGUGGUAGAGUGUCAAUAUACGCACUUACAACUGGAAUUCACUAAAUGCAAGAAUUGAACAUAGCUGGCCCAUGGUAUUCUCUAACACAAUACCAAGGAUAGUAAGCACUCAAUGACAAAAAAAUCCAAACAUGUACAGGUGGGUCUAACACUAGCCUUCACUAUUCAAGAGUGAUAGGCCUACAAGCAAGUUCAUGAGAGGUUGACAUCAAGAAUAUUUUGUCAUACGAAUUGGAUCCUGUACAAGUGUCCAUGUUCGCUAACUUAUUACAUGAGGAUUUCUACAGCUGAGUCUAACCUAAAGAAGCAGCUGUAGACAGAAGUGUCAACUAGACAUACUCCACAAGAAAUAUCCUAUACAGUCAUUGAUGGUUCAACAAUUCCUUGGGUUACUCAAGCGGCAUCGUCAAGGACUUUGACCAAUUUCAAAGUCUAUGGUGAACAUAAGCUAGCAGCAGGUGAUGUACAUCUUGUCU
RNA transcript from Gopherus flavomarginatus (Mexican gopher tortoise), 6262 nucleotides. It is a transcript of the gene named signal peptide peptidase like 2B, with no coding region annotated. The transcript has 17 exons. The record is from RefSeq and is a predicted model, not a curated record. NCBI's taxonomy places the organism in Eukaryota, Metazoa, Chordata, Testudines, Testudinidae.